GGUGGGGUUCCCGAGCGGCCAAAGGGAGCAGACUGUAAAUCUGGCGUCAUCGACUUCGAAGGUUCGAAUCCUUCCCCCACCACCA
RNAcentral lists this transfer RNA (85 nucleotides) under Escherichia coli. RNAcentral's name for it is "tRNA-Tyr". It matches the Rfam family "tRNA". Rfam says of the family: Transfer RNA (tRNA) molecules are approximately 80 nucleotides in length. Their secondary structure includes four short double-helical elements and three loops (D, anti-codon, and T loops). Further hydrogen bonds mediate the characteristic L-shaped molecular structure. tRNAs have two regions of fundamental functional importance: the anti-codon, which is responsible for specific mRNA codon recognition, and the 3' end, to which the tRNAs corresponding amino acid is attached (by aminoacyl-tRNA synthetases). tRNAs cope with the degeneracy of the genetic code in two manners: having more than one tRNA (with a specific anti-codon) for a particular amino acid; and 'wobble' base-pairing, i.e. permitting non-standard base-pairing at the 3rd anti-codon position. Lineage: Bacteria; Pseudomonadati; Pseudomonadota; Gammaproteobacteria; Enterobacterales; Enterobacteriaceae. RNAcentral also lists the same sequence under 1 other name. The record is from RNAcentral.